Pelobates cultripes (western spadefoot toad) is the source of this 754-nucleotide non-coding RNA. The record is from the annotation of a GenBank genome assembly. Lineage: Eukaryota; Metazoa; Chordata; Amphibia; Anura; Pelobatidae.
CUCUCUAUAACACAGCAAUAAGACCAGCUCCCAUCUCUCUAUAACACUGCAAUAAGGCCAGCUCCCAUCUCUUUAUAACACGGCAAUAAGACCAGCUCCCAUCUCUCUAUAACACGGCAAUAAGGCCAGCUCCCAUCUCUCUAUAACACGGCAAUAAGGCCAGCUCCCAUCUCUCUAUAACACAGCAAUAAGGCCAGCUCCCAUCUCUCUAUAGCACAGCAAUAAGACCAGCUCCCAUCUCUCUAUAACACAGCAAUAAGGUCAGCUCCCAUCUCUCUAUAGCACAGCAAUAAGACCAGCUCCCAUCUCUCUAUAACACGGCAAUAAGACCAGCUCCCAUCUCUCUAUAACACAGCAAUAAGACCAGCUCCCAUCUCUCUAUAAUACGGCAAUAAGACCAGCUCCCAUCUCUCUAUAACACGGCAAUAAGACCAGCUCCCAUCUCUCUAUAACACGGCAAUAAGGCCAGUUCCCAUCUCUCUAUAACACGGCAAUAAGACCAGCUCCCAUCUCUUUAUAUCACGGCAAUAAUACCAGCUCCCAUCUCACUAUAACACAGCAAUAAGGCCAGCUCCAAUCUCUCUAUAACACGGCAAUAAGGCCAGCUCCCAUCUCUCUAUAACACGGCAAUAAUACCAGCUCCCAUCUCUCUAUAACACGGCAAUAAGGCCAGCUCCCAUCUCUCUAUAACACGGCAAUAAGGCCAGCUCCCAUCUCUUUAUAUCACGGCAAUAAUACCAGCUCCCAUCUCACU